This 441-nucleotide ribosomal RNA is filed under the name uncultured bacterium. RNAcentral describes it as "partial 16S ribosomal RNA". It matches the Rfam family "Bacterial small subunit ribosomal RNA", at positions 338 to 795 of the family's 1533-position model. The record is from RNAcentral.
CCUACGGGUGGCAGCAGUGGGGAAUAUUGCACAAUGGGGGAAACCCUGAUGCAGCAACGCCGCGUGAGUGAAGAAGUAUUUCGGUAUGUAAAGCUCUAUCAGCAGGGAAGAAGAAAGACGGUACUUGACUAAGAAGCCCCGGCAAACUACGUGCCAGCAGCCGCGGUAAUACGUAGGGGGCAAGCGUUAUCCGGAAUCCCUGGGUGUAAAGGGAGCGUAGACGGCUGUGCAAGCCUGAAGUGAAAGGCGGGGGCCCAACCCCUGGACUGCUUUGGGAACUGUGCGGCUAGAGUGCAGGAGGGGUAGGUGGAAUUCCUAGUGUAGCGGUGAAAUGCGUAGAUAUUAGGAGGAACACCAGUGGCGAAGGCGGCUUGCUGGACUGUAACUGACGUUGAGGCUCGAAAGCGUGGGGAGCAAACAGGAUUAGAUACCCGGGUAGUC